UCUCCCCAAGCUGGGGCUCUGCCCCCGAGGCAGCCAGCGGCUAGGUGGAGUUGGGCAGGGCGAGGACCCAGGAUGCCUAGGAUGGGGCGAUGACCACUACCAACCCAGGCGAAUCAGCUCCAACUGGAGGCAGAAGGAUGGCUAAAAUGACCUCUGCGAAGAUGUCGACUAAAAGCACAAAAAUUUCAACCUAGAACCUUAAGACCUUCCAAAAAGCGACGCAGUCCAAUCAGAUCCUUUCCCCGGAAUCGCGGGGAAACUCACCUCCAGGGCCAAAGCGCUGGCAGUCCUGGGAUCCGCGGAGAUCGCGGGCGAAUUCGCUGGCCCCGGUUCCCCAGCGGCCGCAUUCCCGGGCCCAGGGACGGGCGCCGAGCACAUCAUGGACCCCGGCGAGCGCAUCCCGCCUCCUCGCGUUCAGAGAGCACCAAGCCCGGACGCAGCUCCUCGCCUCCUUUCUUCGCUGCUCAUCGCGCCCCGUGACCCCAGGGAACCCCGCCGGGAACCCCUCUGCUAAGCUCGUGAAAGCCCCUAGGGCAAAUCCGCUCUGAGCCUCGGUUUGCAGGUCCACGGGCCGGGGCGGGACGGGAUGGGCGCCCGCCGGGCAAGAGAGAUGCGGCAGGAAGCGCGGAGCGGCGGCUGCCAGCUGCAGGAGUGACGACCCCCAGGCCCACCGCCGCGCCCGCGCCACCUCCACGCUCUGCUCUCGGCGGGACCAUUUGGCCCUUAUAUACGCGCCAGGCCGGGAAGGGAUGGGGCGGGGAAGGCGGAGCGCGGGGAGGGGGCGGGCAAGGGCCGAACUGCUUCCUGGGAGGUGUAGUUUUGUCUUCCAAUUGCAAGUGCAGAGCAGCUUGUUGGGUUCCCCUUGUCCUCCCCUGCGCCCUUCCUUCAGGAAUAAGCCUGGGAUUCCAGCCUCAUCGUCGGCUCCGUUAGAUCUAGGCUGGCCUUUGUGCAUGAAGUGGGUCACACCGAGCUAAAUUCCGCCCAGGAUAACCAACCUUGUUAGCCUUGGGGUCAGACAAACCCAGCUAAGCUGCACUAGCCCCUCUCAAACCCCGCCAUCAACUAGCUAUGUGGCCUUCGCUUAGGAGUUACCUUGUCUGCCUCGAAUCAGUCAUCUGAGAUGGAGAGAGAAUAUUAGCAUCCGCUUCCACAGGAUUGUAAAGGGAGAAUAAUAUGGGGUGGCCCCACCUCCCCCACCCCUAACAUAAUCUGCGGCCCUCUCCUCACAUUUGUUAAGGGCUAAACAAACCUGGUUUCUAGGCUCCACUUCUGCCAACCACUUGCCACCCUGAGACCCUCCUAGAGUAAAAUUCUGGAGCUGCCACUGCUGGUGAUUCAGGCUUCAAUUUCUGUAGCCACCUCUCAUACAUUCAGCACCUGCAUACCCUGGAUUCAGUGAAGCAGGAGUCAAGCCAGAGGAGGAAGCAGCAUGGCAAUGACUGCCUGGAUGUGAAAGAGGCUGUAUGGACCAGGGGGCACCUAACCCUGCCCACCCCCCCACCCCGCCCCGGGAACAGUCAGGGUGUCCAAUGUGUGUAUGUGUAUAACUGAAUCACUCUGUUGUACAGCAGAAAGUAUCCCUACAUUGUUAAAUCAACCCUACAUCAAUAAAACUUUAAAAAAGGAAAAACAAACAAAAAACAGUCAAGAAGUCCAGAGGGCUGGGGUCUGACCUGGUUCUGGAAGAAAUGAUUAGGAAGUAUCCAGACAAAAAAAAA
Molecule: non-coding RNA, 1718 nt
Organism: Sus scrofa (pig)
Lineage: Eukaryota; Metazoa; Chordata; Mammalia; Artiodactyla; Suidae
Source: RefSeq, a predicted model, not a curated record